GACGAACGCUGGCGGCGUGCUUAACACAUGCAAGUCGAGGGCACGUUGGGGGCAACUCCGACGUGACCGGCGAACGGGUGCGGAACACGUGAGCGACCUUGCCUCGUGGUGGGGAUAGCCGGCCCAACGGCCGGGUAAUACCGCAUACGGUGUUUGCUUCGCAUGGAGCGAACAGCAAAGCUGUGCCGCAAGGCAUGGCGCCACAGGGGGGGCUCGCGGCCUAUCAGCUAGUUGGGGGGGUAAUGGCCCACCAAGGCGACGACGGGUAGCUGGUCUGAGAGGAUGGCCAGCCACAUUGGGACUGAGAGACGGCCCAGACUCCUACGGGAGGCAGCAGUGGGGAAUCUUGCGCAAUGGGCGAAAGCCUGACGUAGCGACACCGCGUGAGCGAAGAAGCCCCUUGGGGUGUAAAGCUCCGUCAGCUGGAACGAAAAAAAUGACGGUACCAGCAGAGGAAGCAUCGGCUAACUACGUGCCAGCAGCCGCGGUAAU
Molecule: ribosomal RNA, 492 nt
Filed under: uncultured bacterium
Lineage: Bacteria
Description: partial 16S ribosomal RNA
Rfam family: Bacterial small subunit ribosomal RNA
Source: RNAcentral